GUAGGUGGGCAAGCGUUGUCCGGAAUUAUUGGGCGUAAAGCGCGCGCAGGGCGGUCCUUUAAGUCUGAUGUGAAAGCCCACGGCUCAACAGUGGAGGGUCAUUGGAAACUGGGGGACUUGAGUACAGAAGAGGAAAGCGGAAUUCCAAGUGUAGCGGUGAAAUGCGUAGAGAUUUGGAGGAACACCAGUGGCGAAGGCGGCUUUCUGGUCUGUAACUGACGCUGAGGCGCGAAAGCGUGGGGAGCAAACAGGAUUAGAUACCCUGGUAGUCCACGCCGUAAACGAUGAGUGCUAAGUGUUAGGGGGUUUCCGCCCCUUAGUGCUGCAGCUAACGCAUUAAGCACUCCGCCUGGGGAGUACGGCCGCAAGGCUG
RNAcentral lists this ribosomal RNA (373 nucleotides) under uncultured organism. RNAcentral describes it as "partial 16S ribosomal RNA". It matches the Rfam family "Bacterial small subunit ribosomal RNA", at positions 526 to 896 of the family's 1533-position model. The record is from RNAcentral.